Molecule: ribosomal RNA, 1026 nt
Filed under: Microbacterium aerolatum
Lineage: Bacteria; Bacillati; Actinomycetota; Actinomycetes; Micrococcales; Microbacteriaceae
Description: bacterial SSU rRNA
Rfam family: Bacterial small subunit ribosomal RNA
Source: RNAcentral
UUGCUCUGUGGGAUCAGUGGCGAACGGGUGAGUAACACGUGAGCAACCUGCCCCUGACUCUGGGAUAAGCGCUGGAAACGGCGUCUAAUACUGGAUACGAGUAGCGAUCGCAUGGUCAGCUACUGGAAAGAUUUUUUGGUUGGGGAUGGGCUCGCGGCCUAUCAGCUUGUUGGUGAGGUAAUGGCUCACCAAGGCGUCGACGGGUAGCCGGCCUGAGAGGGUGACCGGCCACACUGGGACUGAGACACGGCCCAGACUCCUACGGGAGGCAGCAGUGGGGAAUAUUGCACAAUGGGCGGAAGCCUGAUGCAGCAACGCCGCGUGAGGGAUGACGGCCUUCGGGUUGUAAACCUCUUUUAGCAGGGAAGAAGCGAAAGUGACGGUACCUGCAGAAAAAGCGCCGGCUAACUACGUGCCAGCAGCCGCGGUAAUACGUAGGGCGCAAGCGUUAUCCGGAAUUAUUGGGCGUAAAGAGCUCGUAGGCGGUUUGUCGCGUCUGCUGUGAAAUCCCGAGGCUCAACCUCGGGCCUGCAGUGGGUACGGGCAGACUAGAGUGCGGUAGGGGAGAUUGGAAUUCCUGGUGUAGCGGUGGAAUGCGCAGAUAUCAGGAGGAACACCGAUGGCGAAGGCAGAUCUCUGGGCCGUAACUGACGCUGAGGAGCGAAAGGGUGGGGAGCAAACAGGCUUAGAUACCCUGGUAGUCCACCCCGUAAACGUUGGGAACUAGUUGUGGGGUCCAUUCCACGGAUUCCGUGACGCAGCUAACGCAUUAAGUUCCCCGCCUGGGGAGUACGGCCGCAAGGCUAAAACUCAAAGGAAUUGACGGGGACCCGCACAAGCGGCGGAGCAUGCGGAUUAAUUCGAUGCAACGCGAAGAACCUUACCAAGGCUUGACAUAUACGAGAACGGGCCAGAAAUGGUCAACUCUUUGGACACUCGUAAACAGGUGGUGCAUGGUUGUCGUCAGCUCGUGUCGUGAGAUGUUGGGUUAAGUCCCGCAACGAGCGCAACCCUCGUUCUAUGUUG